GUUCUACUCCCUCCGUUCCUAAAUACUUGUCUUUCUAGGCAUUUCAACAAAUGACUACAUACGGAGCAAAAUUAGUGAAUCUACACUCUAAAACAUGUCUACAUACAUCCGUAUGUAGUAGUCAUUUGAAAUGUCUAGAAAGACAAGUAUUUAGGAACGGAGGGAGUAGCUA
Triticum urartu is the source of this 172-nucleotide non-coding RNA. The record is from Rfam. NCBI's taxonomy places the organism in Eukaryota, Viridiplantae, Streptophyta, Magnoliopsida, Poales, Poaceae.